UACGUAGGGGGCUAGCGUUGUCCGGAAUCAUUGGGCGUAAAGAGCGUGUAGGCGGUCCGGUAAGUCCGCUGUGAAAGUCGGGGGCUCAACCCUCGAAUGCCGGUGGAUACUGUCGGGCUAGAGUCCGGAAGAGGCGAGUGGAAUUCCUGGUGUAGCGGUGGAAUGCGCAGAUAUCAGGAGGAACACCAAUAGCGAAGGCAGCUCGCUGGGACGGUACUGACGCUAAGGCGCGAAAGCGUGGGGAGCAAACAGG
Molecule: ribosomal RNA, 253 nt
Filed under: uncultured bacterium
Lineage: Bacteria
Description: partial 16S ribosomal RNA
Rfam family: Bacterial small subunit ribosomal RNA
Source: RNAcentral